Vicia villosa (hairy vetch) is the source of this 89-nucleotide small nucleolar RNA. The record is from RefSeq and is a predicted model, not a curated record. Lineage: Eukaryota; Viridiplantae; Streptophyta; Magnoliopsida; Fabales; Fabaceae.
AAGCCGAUGAUGAUGAAAUCGAUUGGAAUUACCGUCUGAGUUAAUACUCUUUGAUGUAAAAUUUCUUGGCUGUGGUACUGAGGCUUCAC